This 448-nucleotide ribosomal RNA is filed under the name uncultured bacterium. RNAcentral's name for it is "bacterial SSU rRNA". It matches the Rfam family "Bacterial small subunit ribosomal RNA", at positions 28 to 490 of the family's 1533-position model. The record is from RNAcentral.
GACGAACGCUGGCGGCGUGCCUAACACAUGCAAGUCGAACGGGGUGUUCCUUCGGGGACACUUAGUGGCGAACGGGUGAGUAACGCGUGAGAAACCUGCCUUUCAGUGGGGGACAACAGUUGGAAACGACUGCUAAUACCGCAUAAUGUUAUUUGAGGGCAUCCUUGAAUAACCAAAGCUUUAUGUGCUGAAAGAUGGUCUCGCGUCUGAUUAGCUAGUUGGUGGGGCAACGGCCUACCAAGUCGACGAUCAGUAGCCGGUCUGAGAGGAUGAACGGCCACAUUGGGACUGAGAUACGGCCCAGACUCCUACGGGAGGCAGCAGUGGGGAAUAUUGGGCAAUGGGGGAAACCCUGACCCAGCAACGCCGCGUGAAGGAAGAAGGGCCUUCGGGUUGGUAAACUUCUUUUAGUUAGGGACGGAAUACAUGACGGUACCUACAGAAAAAG